RNAcentral lists this small RNA (526 nucleotides) under Pongo abelii (Sumatran orangutan). Its description in RNAcentral is "retained intron". Lineage: Eukaryota; Metazoa; Chordata; Mammalia; Primates; Hominidae. The record is from RNAcentral.
CGGCCGCCCGUGUGUGACGUCAGGGAGCUGCAGGCCCAGGAAGCCUUGCAGAACGGCCAGCUGGGCGGCGGGGAAGGGGUCCCGGAUCUGCAGCCUGGGGUCUUGGCCAGCCAGGCCAUGAUUGAGAAGAUCCUGAGCGAGGACCCCCGGUGGCAAGAUGCCAACUUCGUGCUGGGCAGCUACAAGACGGAGCAGUGCCCAAAGCCGCCGCGCCUGUGCCGCCAGGGCUAUGCGUGCCCGCACUACCACAACAGCCGGGACAGGCGGCGCAACCCCCGGCGGUUCCAGUACAGGUGAGUCUGCGGGACUGUGCUUAGAGGACCCCGGCUGGUGGGUGUCCUUCCCGGCCUGUUGCCUGCACUGCCCACCCCGGGGUUCUAAUGGGAGGGCUGCCCUUGUGGCACCAUCACCCCUGGGAGGGGAGGGCAUCUCCAAGCACAGUGGCUGUGGGAGGCGCCAUGGAGGCCUACGCAUCUGUCCUGGGGACGGCCUCCCCACCCACACUCAGUGUCUCCCAUGCAGUCCC